Molecule: ribosomal RNA, 253 nt
Filed under: uncultured bacterium
Lineage: Bacteria
Description: partial 16S ribosomal RNA
Rfam family: Bacterial small subunit ribosomal RNA
Source: RNAcentral
UACGUAGGGUGCAAGCGUUGUUCGGAAUUAUUGGGCGUAAAGAGUUCGUAGGCGGUCUGUCGCGUCUGCUGUGAAAACUCAGGGCUUAACCCUGAGCUUGCAGUGGGUACGGGCAGACUAGAGUGCGGUAGGGGAGACUGGAAUUCCUGGUGUAGCGGUGAAAUGCGCAGAUAUCAGGAGGAACACCGGUGGCGAAGGCGGGUCUCUGGGCCGUAACUGACGCUGAGGAGCGAAAGCAUGGGGAGCGAACAGG